UCUUUUUAACUUUUUAUCCUUCUCUUAGGCUAGAUGUAAUUUACAUAUUAAAAGUGUGUAUAAUAUUUUAUGAGUAAGAUGAAAAUGCAGUACACUGUAAUUCUGACUAGUGUAACCAGGGUUCGAGUUAUAAUCUGAGCUUUGUGGGGGUCUCUAAAAUAACUAACGUUAGGGGCGGCGAUAAAUAAAUAAAUAAUGGGUGUGCUUUCUGAGAGAGAGAGAGAGAGAGAGAGAGAGAGAGAGAGAGAGAGAGAGAGAGAGAGAGAGAGAGAGAGAGAAAAUUGUAGAGCUGUAACACUAGCAGGUCAAUGUGUGUCCAAGUCUGUGGUGGUGGUCCCACAUUCAGCAGCAUCAGGUCUGGUAGCAGAGCUAGCAUCCUCCGUAGCAGCAAAGCUAGUGCUAGCCGUCAUGCUAGCAGGUGAAUUCCAGUUGUCUAAAGCUGUUUUUUGUUUCUUUGUGAAAAAACCAAAACUAGCCAGGCUUGUAGACCCCGUCGGCAGCAGCGGCCGUUUUUUCGGCGGCAUGGUAGCUAGUCUAUACUGCUAGCUAAUGUUGGCUGAUGCAUAUAGUGGCUUCUUCUUCCAAAUGGGUUUGAACGUUUGCAGCUUGCGUGCUCUCAACAGGAACCGGCAUAGUUUGCGCAAUAUUCUACUGCGCACCACGGUGGCUUGGUGGUGAAGUGCAGCCAUACUGUCAUUCACGAGAAUAUGGUCCUCAGCUGCAAGGUCUGCCGUGACAGCUGCCUCCAGAACAUCUCACCAUUCCAGUGGGAAAGUAACGUCACAACCUCCACAGACCCCUGCUCAGCAGACUGCAGAACCGCCCACAGUACCACCCAUAGAACCGCCCACAGAACCACGCACAGUACCGACCACUGUACUGCGCACGGUAUCGACCACAGAACUGCGCACGGUAUCGACCACAGAACUGCGCACGGUAUCGACCACAGAACAGCGCACGGUAUCGACCACAGAACAGCUCACGGUAUCGACCACAGAA
Anguilla rostrata (American eel) is the source of this 999-nucleotide long non-coding RNA. RefSeq lists it as uncharacterized. NCBI's taxonomy places the organism in Eukaryota, Metazoa, Chordata, Actinopteri, Anguilliformes, Anguillidae. The transcript has 4 exons. The record is from RefSeq and is a predicted model, not a curated record.